AGUGAACGCUGGCGGUAGGCUUAACACAUGCAAGUCGAACGGCAGCACAGUAACAGGUUGCUAUGACGGGUGACGAGUGGAGGACGGGUGAGGAAUACUUCCCAAUCUAUUUUUUCGUGGGGAAUAAAGUAGGGCAACUUACGUUAAUACCGCAUUCUUCCAACGGGUGGAAGCAGGGGAUCUUCCGGCUUUGCGCGAAUGAAUGGCCCGAUGUCGGAUUAGUUAGUUGGCGGGGUAAAGGCCCACCAAGGCGACGAACCGUAGCUGGUCUGAGAGGAUGAUCAGCCACACUGGAACUGAGACACGGUCCAGACUCCUACGGGAGGCAGCAGUGGGGAAUAUUGGACAAUGGGCGGAAGCCUGAUCCAGCCAUGCCGCGUGGGUGAAGAAGGCCUUCGGGUUGUAAAGCCCUUUUGUUGGGGAAGAAAAGCUGCAGGAGAAUACCCGGUUGUUCUGACGGUACCUAAAGAAUAAGCACCGGCUAACUUCGUG
RNAcentral lists this ribosomal RNA (492 nucleotides) under uncultured bacterium. Its description in RNAcentral is "partial 16S ribosomal RNA". It matches the Rfam family "Bacterial small subunit ribosomal RNA", at positions 29 to 507 of the family's 1533-position model. The record is from RNAcentral.